RNAcentral lists this ribosomal RNA (509 nucleotides) under uncultured marine eukaryote. Its description in RNAcentral is "SSU rRNA". It matches the Rfam family "Eukaryotic small subunit ribosomal RNA", at positions 618 to 1142 of the family's 1831-position model. The record is from RNAcentral.
GUUAAAAAGCUCGUAGUCGGAUUUCAGUUUGUUUAUGCAUGAGCCUUGUGUUCUUUGCGUCGACUUACUUCAUGACAGAAACAUUCAUGCUCUUAAUUGGGUGUGUUUACUUACUGUCUCUUUUACUUUGAGAAAAUUAGAGUGUUCAAAGCAGGUAUUUGCCUGAAUAUUACUCUUGGAAUAAUAAUAUAGGACUUCAGUCUUAGUUUGUUGGUGAACCGGGACCGGAGUAAUGAUUGAUAGGGACAGUUGGGGUCAUUCAUACUGCAAAGCGAGAGGUGAAAUUCUUGGACCUUUGUAUGAUGAACAACUGCGAAAGCAUUUGACUAGGAUGUUCCCGUUGAUCAAGAACGAAAGUUGGGGGAUCGAAGACGAUCAGAUACCGUCGUAGUCCCAACCAUAAACUAUGCCAGCUAGGGAUGGGAGGAUGUUUACUAACGACUCCUUCCGCACCUUAUGAGAAAUCAAAGCAUCUGGGUUCCGGGGGGAGUAUGGUCGCAAGGCUGAAA